AUGGCAAAAUGGGUGGAUGAUCUUCUGCAAAGGUAUUGCUCUGCUUCGGGUCAACGUAUAAAUAAAGAUAAAUCAUCUGUUUUCUUUAGCAAGGGCUAUGCUGAAGCCUUGAGACAGGAUAUCAAGAAUGUGUUGGAUGUUCCGAACGAGCAGCUCUCUGAGAAAUAUCUUGGUCUCCCCUCUGAUGUAGGCCGGGCUAAAGAGGGUGCUUUCAAGUAUUUGAAAGAUAGAAUCUGGAAGCAAAUUCAAGGUUGGAUGGAGAAAACUUUGUCCGUUGGGGGCAAAGAGGUGCUUAUUAAAUCCGUUGCCCAAGCCAUCCCUACCUACUCGAUGGCCUGUUUCAAACUGCCUAGAGGAUUAUGCCAACACAUUAACGGGCUGCUACGUAAGUUAUGGUGGGGCUCAAAAAAGGGAGAGAGAAAGACUGCCUGGGUCUCCUGGGAAGUCAUGACACAACCAAAGUUCAUGGGAGGAAUGGGGUUCAGAGAUAUCGAGCUUUUUAACCUUGCAUUACUGGCCAAGCAGGCCUGGCGCCUCCUGCAGGAACCCACCUCGUUGAGUGCGAGGAUCCUCAAGGUUGUCUACUACCCUUCUUCCACCACCCUUGAGGCAGAAGUGGGCAAUCAUCCUUCACAAGUUUGGCGAUCCAUAAUUGAAGGCAGAGACACUUUGAAGCUGGGACUUGUCAAACGGAUUGGUUCAGGAGAGGACACAAACAUAUGGACUGACAAUUGGAUUCCACGUGAUUUUAAGCUUCGGCCGGUUUGCCAAAAGUCCUUGAAUCCUCCUCACAAGGAUCGGACCUCAUUGAUUCCGUUAACAUGA
This 825-nucleotide ribosomal RNA is filed under the name Triticum aestivum (bread wheat). RNAcentral describes it as "partial small subunit ribosomal RNA". Lineage: Eukaryota; Viridiplantae; Streptophyta; Magnoliopsida; Poales; Poaceae. The record is from RNAcentral.